Molecule: ribosomal RNA, 468 nt
Filed under: uncultured Methylomonas sp.
Lineage: Bacteria; Pseudomonadati; Pseudomonadota; Gammaproteobacteria; Methylococcales; Methylococcaceae
Description: bacterial SSU rRNA
Rfam family: Bacterial small subunit ribosomal RNA
Source: RNAcentral
UCCUACGGGGGGCUGCAGUGGGGAAUAUUGGACAAUGGGCGAAAGCCUGAUCCAGCAAUACCGCGUGUGUGAAGAAGGCCUGAGGGUUGUAAAGCACUUUCAAUAGGAAGGAAUACCUGCCGGUUAAUACCCGGUAGACUGACAUUACCUAUACAAGAAGCACCGGCUAACUCUGUGCCAGCAGCCGCGGUAAUACGGAGGGUGCAAGCGUUAAUCGGAAUUACUGGGCGUAAAGCGUGCGUAGGCGGUUGUUUAAGUCAGAUGUGAAAGCCCUGGGCUUAACCUGGGAACUGCAUUUGAUACUGGACGACUAGAGUUUAGUAGAGGGGAGUGGAAUUUCAGGUGUAGCGGUGAAAUGCGUAGAGAUCUGAAGGAACACCAGUGGCGAAGGCGGCUCCCUGGACUAAAACUGACGCUGAGGUACGAAAGCGUGGGUAGCAAACAGGAUUAGAUACCCCAGUAGUCCCG